AUGAAAUAUGGAGCUUCAGAGGCUUUAGGUUUGCACUGCAUCCUGUGUUAUAUUUUGUGUCUCCACUUUGCAGGACUUACUGGCUACCCUCUUGCCAAGAGGAUUUCUCUGGCAAAUCCCUCUAUGCUCCUGCCCUCCAAGCCAUUGCCUCCUAUCCCGAAGAGCUCUUCCAAGACAAGCAAGAUGUGCAGCGGAGAGCAAGGGACUGGGAAAAGUGGCACUGGCUAUGACAAUGACGACAGCAGAAAAAUCCAGGAGCUGAGUUCAGAGGGAAAAGGAUGUAAGGCUUCCUUGCUGUAUCCCACUGCAGGGGAUAAGAAGAAGGAAUCACUGGGACUGCCUUUGAUCCCCCCGAUACGCAGGGCAGUAAGUCCCGAUGUUGGCAGUGCUGCAGGGUCUCUGCAAAGCUCUCUGCAGCUGGAUGUGCAAGAGUCCCAGGAGAUGAGGCCCAGAUCCACCAGGAGAAGCAAAGAUGACAACUCUGAAGAAGGAGGGCUGACUAGGUUCAUUUUUUCCAAAUCUUUCCGGCGAUCUCCUUCUAUGCUCCUUGCCUCCGCUCUGUUUCCUCCCAGCUGGAAAACCUCUCAGUCUUCCAACAGAAGAGAAAUGUGCAGCGUUGAGAAGGAGAGUGGGAAAAAUGGCAGUGGCUAUGAGGAAGACACCAGAGAAAGAGAGGAGCUGAAGUCAAAAGGAAAAAGGUUGUAAGGCUUCCUUGCUGUAUCCCACUGAAGGGGAUAAGAAGAAGGAAUCACUGGGACUGCCUUUGAUCCCCCCGAUACGCAGGGCAGUAAGUCCCGAUGUUGGCAGUGCUGCAGGGUCUCUGCAAAGCUCUCUGCAGCUGGAUGUGCAAGAGUCCCAGGAGAUGAGGUAAGCCAAGGUGUCUGCUGCUCCAGUGUGCUGUUCACCUCGCUCUUCCCAUCUCGUGAGGUUAUUUUGCACAGUCAGCUCUCCCAUGUAUUUAGGCAAACCUCUGUGUAUUCAGCAUUUGGCCCUAUCUGUGGUGAUCCAGCCCAAUGUCAAACCCAGCACCAUAUGGCCCAAGAGCAGAGGUGGUGGUGGGGAAGAGGAGGCAGGGCUGAAAAGCUCCUCAAGACAGGUCCUCUUCUGGACCUGGCUGUUGAUUCCCUCUGUAAUGUUUGUGGUGUCAUUUGGGAACUGUAUUGCAUGGGUCUGGAUGCUGCAGAUCUUUGAGUACUGUGACCCUUCACUGUCAACUUCUGCAGCCACAAGAAUAUGAUUGGACAAAUAUUGGCAAAUAUGGAGGUGUACGCAAAUUCCUGUUCUGAUUCUUGUACUUUUAUAGUCAUGUGCUGUAGUUUAUUUGCCAGCACUUAUAUUUUGAGAAGAAAAAUAUACUGACAGCACCCAACGCAGAACUAAGUGGGGGUUACGGAAACAAGGGUGAUGAAAACUAGCUUUGGGAAGCAAUUACUUCCUAGAUGUAACUGUCAAAUUCUGGAUACCAUUAUGUGUUGCCAUCUGUUUUGUGCAUGGGCCUCCACUUAGAAAUGAGUUCCCAGAGAUGUUAUGAGAUAGAGCUGCAUAACCCAUGUGAUGUUUAAUAUUUCAGUCUGGGCUUAAGAUCAAAAAGAGCAAGGUGCUGGAGAAGAGGUAUAGGACUGUAGCUGAUGGAAAGAUAUUAGCUUGGAGAAGUGUGAGAAAAUGUAGCUGUCAUGCUUGACUGAGUGAUAACGAUAAAGAAGGAGUCUCAGAAGUAUCACUCACAUUGAAAAUCUUCUAUAAGGCUUUUAAAGUGCAGUGUAAAUAUCCUGUCCAUAGCCGCUGUGUGUGAAAAAGCCUAGUUUUUCUGGAAAGAUCAAGGAGAUGUAAUAUUAUUCUCAGGAGACAGCAGUGCUCUGACCACAUGGAGCACGAGUCUGUCACCAGUGUAAGGCACAAGCAGGCAAAGUCAAGCUUUGCAGCAGUACAAAAGGAGCUGCCCUCCAUAGAGACUCGUGUCUCAGCUCAGCAGCUCUUGCUGCUUCAGAGGGGCUGUAGGAGCCACUUGGCUCCAAAAGGAGAGACAGCAGAACUGGGGGGUUAUGAUGCAAGUUGAAGAAUGACUGCUGUGUUUCAGCCGGAGCUUGGCCAGCUCUGUCUGACUCCAGCAACUGAGAGCUUAAGGACAAUGAAUCAGCUUUGCAUCUUGUUUAGUUUCUGUGUUGCAUUUCCUCCUUCAUCCCAGUGACCAUGCUAAGAAGGUUUGCUUCCUUUCAUGCUUCACACAUUCCCUCCCUUCUCUUUCUUCCUCCUCAUCUGUUCUUUUGUCUUCCAUUUCCUCAAGGUCCACACCCAGCAGCAGAAGCGAAGAUGAUGACUCUGAAGAAGGAGGUUGGUACAGGGCAUGUCUGUCGUCAAAUGACCAUUGGAAUUUUGACACAGAAUUUGUAUUUUGAAUGGUUGGUUAAAAAUAAUUCUCUUCAAAAAUUCUUCAAAUUGAUAUCAAUGCAUUGAUGUGCUCAGUGGACUCCUGAAGAGCCCAAUCACUGGGAGUGUGCUGUGGUCGUGCAGUGAAAAUUCCUCCAGUGUGAGGUGUUGUGUGGCUGAGCUGGAGUGGUACCUUGGGCCCCUGGAAAUGCAGCACAGGAAAAGGAAACAUUCCUCUCCAUCCAGCACUUGCCCUUCAUCUCCCUGCAGCCUUUCCAGUGUCACAGUUAGUAGAGAAUAAGCAGGCAUUUAUCAUGAAAUGGGAAAUGUUCCCAGUCCUUCGUCCUGCCCUUGAAGGAGAAAACCUUUCCUUGCAGCAGUUUCUGAGAUGAACCCUUUGAGAUCUGAAGGAGAUCCAUGGACAUUGCCUGGUUCUGCACUGGGAGAAAUAGGGAAACCUCCUCUGAGGGAAAGUCCUUGUGAAAUUUCCGAUUAAGGAGAAGGAGGUUUCCAAAUGGAUGCAGCCUAUGCAGGGUCUGAGUUUGUCAUCCUCUGAGAGCACAAGCCCAAAGCCACCUAUGGCAGGUUCACCAUGACAAAUCUCUUCCCCAACUCUCUCUGCCUGGGUCAGUGCUGCAGGCUGAGGCUGCAGGAGGAGAUGCCUUCUGCCUUGUCCCUCCCUCCCUGCCUUACCUGAUCCCUGACAAGUAGAAUUGUGCCAGACAAAAUGCAGUCUCUGGUGCAUCUGUGUCAGCCAGUGCUUUCAAGUUGAAAGCCUCAAUGAAAGUCUGUUGUUGUUCCUUUGCCAUCUCUGGGCAUUUACUGAUAGGAGAGAUGAGACUUGAAGACAUAAUUUUGCUGCUGCAGGAAAAGGGAUCAGAUGUCCUGGUCCCUUUGCUCAGGGUUUGUUCUGCCAAAUCCUGGGUACAGCCCCUUUGGAAAGACUCCUUAAUUGCUGAUAUGCAGCUGCAAUGCUGAAUGCAGUUGAGGAGAAUUACUGCUCAGUAUUGCUCAGGUGACAUUUUUGCUGGAUUAAUUCUGGCCUAGAAAUUACCUAUCUCAUCAAAGGUUGUCAGAUGCUCUUUUGUAAAUGAUGUCACCAUUGUACUGGGAUAAAGAAACACAGAUUUUAUCCGUGUCUUCUUUUUAUGCUCUACACUCUGCUGUUUGCAUUUAGGAAAUUCUUAAUGGUUUUUAACUGCCAUGGUCAGAAAUGUUUUGUUGCAGGUGAUCUUUGUGUUGGUAUUAGGCAGGAAAGCAAGCAGGGAAUAAACCCCAGGGGCAGGGAAUCA
Molecule: long non-coding RNA, 3659 nt
Organism: Cyanistes caeruleus (blue tit)
Lineage: Eukaryota; Metazoa; Chordata; Aves; Passeriformes; Paridae
Source: Ensembl